This 481-nucleotide ribosomal RNA is filed under the name uncultured bacterium. RNAcentral's name for it is "partial 16S ribosomal RNA". It matches the Rfam family "Bacterial small subunit ribosomal RNA", at positions 28 to 507 of the family's 1533-position model. The record is from RNAcentral.
GACGAACGUUGGCGGCGUGCUUAAUACAUGCAAGUCCACUGAAGCAGUGGUAGCAAUAUCGCUGUGGAGGUGGCGCACGGGUGAUUAACACGUAGUUAAUCUGCCUUCAGGUCUGGCAUAACUCCGUGAAACCGGGGCUAAUAGCAGAUGAUGCAGCGGCUCGACAUCGAGACAGGUGUUAAAGCUAUGGUGCCUGAAGAUGAGCCUGCGUCUGAUUAGCUAUUUAGCGGGGUAACGGCCCACCAAGGCAACGAUCAUUAGCUGGUCUGACAGGAUGAUCAGGAACACUGGAACUGACACACGGUCAAGGCUCCUACGGGAGGCAGAAGUAAGGAAUAUUGCUCAAUGGGAGAAAUACUGAAGCAGCAACGCCGAGUGAGGGACGAAGGGCUUUUGCUUGUAAACCUCUGUAGUGAGAGAAAAAAAUCCCAAUCUUUGGGACAUGAUGGUAUCUAAAAAGUAAGCCCCGGCUAACUACGUG